AUUGAACGCUGGCGGCAUGCUUUACACAUGCAAGUCGAACGGCAGCGGGGACUUCGGUCCGCCGGCGAGUGGCGAACGGGUGAGUAAUGCAUCGGAACGUGCCUAUCAGUGGGGGAUAACGCUUCGAAAGGAGUGCUAAUACCGCAUAUUCUCUGAGGAGGAAAGCAGGGGACCUUAGGGCCUUGCGCUGAUAGAGCGGCCGAUGUCGGAUUAGCUAGUUGGUGAGGUAAAGGCUCACCAAGGCGACGAUCCGUAGCGGGUCUGAGAGGAUGAUCCGCCACACUGGGACUGAGACACGGCCCAGACUCCUACGGGAGGCAGCAGUGGGGAAUUUUGGACAAUGGGCGAAAGCCUGAUCCAGCCAUGCCGCGUGAGUGAAGAAGGCCUUCGGGUUGUAAAGCUCUUUUGUCCGGGAGGAAAUCCUGGCCUCUAAUACAGGUCGGGGAUGACAGUACUGGAAGAAUAAGCACCGGCUAACUACGUG
Molecule: ribosomal RNA, 484 nt
Filed under: uncultured bacterium
Lineage: Bacteria
Description: bacterial SSU rRNA
Rfam family: Bacterial small subunit ribosomal RNA
Source: RNAcentral